RNAcentral lists this transfer RNA (72 nucleotides) under Schistosoma japonicum. RNAcentral's name for it is "tRNA-OTHER". It matches the Rfam family "tRNA". From Rfam's summary of the family: Transfer RNA (tRNA) molecules are approximately 80 nucleotides in length. Their secondary structure includes four short double-helical elements and three loops (D, anti-codon, and T loops). Further hydrogen bonds mediate the characteristic L-shaped molecular structure. tRNAs have two regions of fundamental functional importance: the anti-codon, which is responsible for specific mRNA codon recognition, and the 3' end, to which the tRNAs corresponding amino acid is attached (by aminoacyl-tRNA synthetases). tRNAs cope with the degeneracy of the genetic code in two manners: having more than one tRNA (with a specific anti-codon) for a particular amino acid; and 'wobble' base-pairing, i.e. permitting non-standard base-pairing at the 3rd anti-codon position. Lineage: Eukaryota; Metazoa; Platyhelminthes; Trematoda; Strigeidida; Schistosomatidae. The record is from RNAcentral.
UGUUCGAUGGUCUAAUGGUAAAGCUUUCGCUGCGAAACCACUAGAUCCUAGGUUAGAUCCCUGGUCGAGCAG